CAUGAUGAACUUGACCUCAAAUCAGGUAGGACUACCCGCUGAACUUAAGCAUAUC
RNAcentral lists this ribosomal RNA (55 nucleotides) under Amanita citrina. RNAcentral's name for it is "partial 28S ribosomal RNA". The record is from RNAcentral. Lineage: Eukaryota; Fungi; Basidiomycota; Agaricomycetes; Agaricales; Amanitaceae.